GAGAAUCACGUACAAUUCAUUUGGAAAAGGUGUGGCAAGUCAACCCAAGGGGUCGUUAUAACAUGUCCCAUAUUCAUUAAUUCAUCAUUCGUAAUUGCUUAAUUACAAGAGAUUAUACUUGUAAUUGAUAGCCACGAUACUUAGCAGUAAUUUUGGUUCUAUAAGAUGAGAGACAUCUCACAUUGAGCGGUAUCAAUUUUUAUUGAGUAUAGUUGACAACCACCCUUGAGUCUGAAGUGUAAUGAAACUAAGCAGAUUGGUGUUUUUCCGGUAUUUAUUUGAGAAUUUUUUAAUAUGGUUUUAUGGUAUUGGGAAGGUCACCAGAAGCUGAUUACCCUUUCGAUGAUCAAGAAGUACACACCAUAAAGUUUGCACUCUAAACCAAAUAAUAUCACACACGAGAAUUGCCAUUACAAUGGAAAACAAUGUCAUUCAAAUGAUCUGGUUGAAUGACAUAAAAAGUUUAGCCUUCACUCACCAUCCAGGAGAGUAUAACAGACACAGACACACAUUUAAUGUUUAUAGUUAAAGGAAAUAUUUUCCUCACAAAACUAGUGCUUUUACGGGGUAUUAGCUAAUUUAUAGUCGUAUUUUGAGAAGAGGACAACUUCUCUUUCUCCAGCGGGGUAUUAGCUAAUUUAUAGUUGUAUUUUGAGAAGAGGACAACUUCUCUUUCUCCAGCAACUUGAUCAAUGGGAAUUGCAUCAGCUAUUUCUUUCAAGUCAUCAGGUGUCAGCUUGACAGCUAGAGAAUUAAUGUUGUCAAUAAGGUUCUUAAUCUUUGUUGUUCCUGUAUAUCAUUCAAUUUAAGAUCAAAACCUUUCAGAGUAAAUAAUAUUUCAUCAGUCAAGAUUUAAGAAAGCAUUGUCAAUGUUAGUGUGCGACUUUUGCAUGCUUACCAGGUAUUGGAACCACAUCAUCUCCCCGAUGGAGAAGCCAUGCCAGAGCAAGUUGAGGAGGAGUGCAAGAAUGCUUGGCUGCUAAAUUGGCAAAACGAGCAUAAAGUACUUUGUUCUUCUCUAGAUUCUCUCCAACAAACCUUGGGUGCUUAUCCUAGAAGAAAAAAAUAAUUAAUUUAAAUUUUUUCUUAUUUAUAUAGCUCAAUACUGUCUAAUCCAUCUUUUCAAAUAUGCCAUCAAGGAAGACUAAAGAUGAAAAGAAAUUAUGCAAAUAUUACCAGAAGACUCUGUGAAGGCAAGCUCUCCACAAUUGCCUUCCCAACAAAGAACCCAUGACCAAGUGGGCUAUAAGCUACUAUUCCAAUACCAAGUUCCCUGAAUCAAAGAGCCGGGAAAAUUUAUUCCUCUCGUAACAUUGAUGCAAACUUUUUAUUUUGGUAUUUAUCUUCUUAGUAUUUCUCAUCUAGGCCAAAGUCCAACACCAUAAAGAUGAAUAUCUAAUGAUUUUUUUUUUUAAAAUAUAAUAUUGGAAGAAAGAAACAAAAUUACAAAUUUUCAACUUACCUACAAAGUGGGAUUACAUCCUCUUCUAUUUCACGAGUCCAUAGAGAAUACUCCAUUUCUACAGCAGUUAUUGGAUGAACUGCAUGUGCCCUCCUGAUUGUAUCCACACUAGCUUCGGACAACCCAAUGUAUCUAAUCUUUCCCUCUUCCACUAGCUUCUUUAGCUCCCACAUCUUUUCUCCAGAAUCAACUCAAAGGAGAAAGACACGAAAGGAAAGAAAAGAAUACAAAUUUUAGGGGCAGUAUAGUGAAAAUGCAGAAAUAUCAUAUAGUAACAUAAAUAGAAUGAAUUUUCUUCUAAUACUAACCGUUUCCUCUAUUGGCACAGAUAUGUCUAUCCGGUGCGGAUAAUACAGAUCAAUGUAAUCCACAUUCAGCCGCUUAAGACUGGCUUCGAUGCAUUGCCGCACAUACUUAAGAGUUCCUUUGACCUCUACUUGAGUGAAAUCCAUCUUAUAAAUGCCAAAUUUACUUGCUAGUUGAACUUGUUCACGAGGCAACUCUUUUAAUGCCUAAUAAAUCAUAGUAAACAACCAAAUUAUUUCUCUUAUAGACGACGAAUUUUCUGAAAAUAAGUAUAGGGUAUUCAAUGGCAUGUUCUAAUUUUCAAGUGACAGAAUUACCUUGCCAAUCAUUAUCUCAUUGUCGCCCUCCUGUCCAUAGCGAUCAGCAGUGUCAAAGAAGGUGAUACCCAUAUUGAAUGCUUCUUUUAAAAUCGCACAUCCAGCUUCAUGCGAGAGUGGAGCAUUUAGUAUGCCAGAAAGUCCCCCACAACCAAAACCCAGUUUAGAAACCUGAACGCAAAAGACCUCUCAGUCAUGAUCCCACUCUUAUUAAUAUAAUUGAGUAUCUAAUCAGUGUAUAUUUUAUAAACGUUAUGCUCAUUUUGCUGGGCUUAAUCUGCAUGAACAUAACAUUAAGAUAGCAAUGUAAUAGAAGAACCAUGGAUCGAAUGGGACAGGACAACCAGUGACAGAAGCCCUUCAGGUUCUCGAUGAUAAAAAAGAAAAGAUGAUUAUUUAGUAAUUUCCCAUUUUGCUUAAUGCCAAUCCUUACCAGAAGGGAAAUUGGUACCGUGAAGGUAGCACAAAUUUAGGAUCUUUAUUGGAGGCAAACAAGGAUAAGCUGACUUCAAGAUCUAAAUUUGCAGAUAAGAAUUAUAUGGCAGCAAGUUAACGUUAAAGUUAAAUGAAUUGUACCCCACAUGCUUGCCCACAGGAAUUAUGGUAAUUAUAGUCUAAUUAUUCAAGGAUCAAGAAAAGAAAUGCUAAAACUUCACUUCACGUUACAGCGAAAAGGUUCAUUUGUAUCUUUAAAAUUCAAGUACUUACCCUCGCUAUGUUUAAAGACGUUGGAACUGGAACAUACAAAGGAUCAAUUCACAUUCAAAUGGUACUUCUCCAAUCUAAGUCUCAAGUUUCAUGCCACCAAAGACAGCCUUAGUAUCUCUAAUAAAUCAUCAUCGACGCUAUUUUGUUGUUUCAUCUACCGACAAGGCUACCCAACAAUUACAAUAAAGCAAACUACAGCGUGCAGCAUUCAAAGUCAACUAAAAUAUAAAAUUUUCUGAAUUAUCAUUUAUAAACAUAUAUUUUCCGACCAAACCGUAUACAGUCUACUGCAGGUCAAUCUUUUUACACAACACUGCAAGCAAGUAAAAGAAGAUACAGAAAACAGAGACUGAUCAACCACAGACACGGGGAACCAAUGUUUAACGAUUGCCUAUCAAGAUAAUUUUUUAACUUCCCAGUCUUUGAUCAGAUGCAUAUCCAUAUUAGGAUGAGCUUCAAAAUAAGCAAAAAUAACAUUUUUUUGUUUCCCAAUAUUUUUAGAUAAGUUAAUCUCUUUUCCCCCUUAAAUUUCACUAUAACUAAUAUUUUCAAUUUGGAUCAACGAAGAAAUAUAUUUUUAUAAGUAAGAUUGAAACCUCCAGGCCUUGGGUACCCAAUUUCAGUCUUGGCACCAGCAUCCGAGGCUUCUGCUCCAUUAUGCCCUGUACAGGGAAAUCCACCUGAAAAAUUCAAAGAAGAUGAGAGCUUAAGUGAGUUACUGGCAAAUUAUGCAUUUAACUUCAAAAGACUAGGGUUUAUAAAAAUUAAUGAGAAGCGGAGCAGUAAAAAUGUGUCAAUUGAUUAGUGAAGUGUUGCUUUCCGUUUCUAAGUUGAUAGAGACCUCAGCCAAUUAACAUUGUGUAAUGUCCCAAAAUUUCAUAUAUUAGAAUUUAAUUUAUGUGCGCUAUAUUUUAAUAUUUUGGAAGUUUAGGGACUAAAUAUAUAUAAAGUAAAUUUCAAUAUUUAUUGGAUGUUAAAAUGUAGAUGUUGACGGAGCGACAAUAAGAAUAUCAAUAUUGUACUCGUUGGAUAGGUCGUAAUUAAUCAUGCAUGUUAGGCUCGAAAAAAAGUUAAUUUGAAUUAGCGGAGCCUAAGUUAUCGAGGUUGAAAGAUAUAGCCUUAAAUUAUUAUUAUUGUUGUUAUUACUCCUAUUAUUAUUAUUAUUUUAUCAGCCUUGCUACAUGUACACCAAGCCUUACAGCUCGGUGUACAGUCCCCUCACAUCGAGGGGCUGCCAAUUAAAAAAAAGGGCGUGGGCCCCCUCUACAGUGAGGGGGCUGUAAGUAUACAACACCUUUUAGUGAUGUACAAGUAGGUUAAUUGUUAUUUUAUUGAGUAUGUAUUGAAUUGGUUAGUUUCACACGUAAGAUUCUUGGUAGGUGGUAAGUUGAUGAUUGAUUUGUUUAUUAAAUAAAAUAAAAUAAAAUAAACAGAAAAGAAAAGAAAGAGAGAUAGAGAAAGGUAUGGGGAGCCACAAUAACGUGAGUGCUCACAAUCACGUGAGUGGUUGUUGAGAAACAAAAUUUUAUUAUUAUUUAAUUAGAAUUUUGAAUUAAAUGGUUGUCACCACGUGUACGGUAAUGGUUUGCUUUUGAGUGAUUGGUUAGUUGACAAGUACGUGAUCCUAUAUUGAUAAGGCUUAGUCUCCUAUUUUGUUUCAAAAACAGUUUUCUCAACUUUAUCUAAAUACCCACUCCCACACGUUUUUUUAUGAAUAUGACUACAUGUGUAUGGAAUGAACCGCACGAGAAUCGAGACACAAAAAUAUAUUGGUGCACGCACACAUUGUUAAUAGAGGCAGAAAAAGAAAGGAGAAACGAACGUGAUUUUUCUUUUGUCUUCAUAUUAAAGCAGUUCAACAAGGUAGGAUAUAGAGGUGCAGUGUAUUUUUUUAAAAUCCCCAUUUAAAUUUGUUUUCAUGCUGAUGAACUUUAUACUCAUGAAAUUUAAAGUUAUGAUAUGAUAUGAAUGAUAUGGUCAUUCCGGAACAACAAUAUGAUAUGAGCUUACCGAAUUUUAAAGAUAUGAGACGGUAUGAUUUUCUGAUACAUGUUUUAAAAUUAUCAUACGGGAUCGCAUCAUUAAUUUUAUAUCAUACUGAGUAUUUUUAUGUACUCACCAUUUUCCCUACUCCUCACAGAUUAGAAUGAGUCGUUGGUUGGCGGGCGAUGCAGUGGAGUUGUGAUGCCAGAAAUUAUGGAAUUCAAAAUAAAUUAAUUCUGAGUAACAUGACUAGGAAAUUUUAUUUAUUUAUUUUCUUGCGUUAUUUCAGUUUUAUUUUCAUGUUAAAUUUGAAAUUUAAUAUUUGGAACAUGGUUCAGUUAAUUAUGUUUUCCAUAGACUUUAGUUAUUGUAUAGAUGGAACUAGAAAGAUUUUCAUGUAGAAUGUUUGACAUAAUUUAUUUAAUUAUGAAAUAAAGGUUUUAGUAACAAUUUUAAAUCUUUAAAUUUUGGGUCGUUACAGUGUGGUAUCAGAGCAUAGGUUUAAUUUCCUGUAGACCCACGUGUAUUCUCAUAAUCUUUUUUUUUUUUAAAUAAAUAAAAAAAUUUUGGGACGUGAACAGUGACGUAAUUGGAAAUUGUACUGAAAAUAAAAACAAAUUUGUUUGGCAUCCUACAGAAAGUAUGAGUUCCAUUUGUACAAAUAAAAUGCUUUUAAGGAAUCAGGGACGUUAUUGUUGGAAAAUGCUGGAUCAUUUUAUGCACAGGAUACCCUUCUGCCAUACUGCAUGUUAAAUUACGUUUCAGUUCAUUGGAAAGGUGUGAUAUAGGGAUGUAAACGAGCCGCCUCGCGAGCCUAAAGUUUCGGCUCGGGCUCGGCCCGGUUAAAAUGACCGAGCUUUUUUGCGGGCUCGAGCCAGGCCGAGCUUUUAAAAAAGGCUCGACCCGAGCUUCUGCUCGGGCUUUUUACGGGCCGAGCCGGGCAGGCUCGUUUUCUCCCCAAUUUUUUUUCCUCCUGCUGCCUUUAAAAGGCAGCAAUUUUGCCUUAAAUUUAAAUUUUUUUUUUUUAUUAAAAGGCUCGCGAGCUCACGGGCCGGCUCGGGCAAAGCCCGUGUCCCCAAAAUGGGGCUCGGCCCGAGCUUAGGCUCAGGUCUACCGAGCCCCGAGCCGAGCCACGAGCGGCCCGAGCCGACGAGCCCGAUUGCCAUCCCUCAUGUGAUAUGAGUAAUGUAAAUCCCCGAGUCCCGAAUUUGAAUGUGUAAAUAAUACAAACCUUGUGAACAGAUUCAAGCUCUUUAAGUGCAGUUUGUGUUUUUGGGACCUUGAGCGUUCUCGGAGUAAAUAUUUCUCGAAGCCUUACAAUGCCAUUCUUGGAAUAACUAUGUGCAAACUACCAAUUAAAGCAAAGUUAUUUUACAAGUUUCACCAGUCAAAACAUAACUAAUUGGCUACAAGUAGGAAUUUACCUGAGUCAGGCCCUGAGAUGAAAUGUCAUCAUCCAUAUCUACUGGACUGAGGAUGAAAAAUACUAAUUAGUGCAGACAUUAUGAGGAAAAAUACUAGUUUUUCGCUAGCUAACUAGAAUUGUUCAUUAAGAAAAGCGUCCUGCCAUAUUUGAUCAUAAUAUAUGGGAUUGUUAAUUUGAAACAGUUUUGUAGAAGUGUUGCCAGAGUCUUCAUUGUUCUGGAACCAUCAUUAUAAGAACAGGAUAUAUUAUCAUUUACCAGAAAAAGGAAUUUAAUAAAAAAAUUAUUGCAAUUGAAGGCGAAAGCUUUAUUCUUUAUAAGGGGACAGAAAUGCUACCUUAUUACGAAGAGAUGUUUAUCAUUCAAAUUAAGUGGCAGUUCAUCAAUGGGCAUAACGAUCAUAAUUAAAAGUUAAAACAAAUGGUGAAAAAGAGUAUCAAAAAUGGAAAACCAAAGGAGGAACCAUGAGAGGUUCUAAAAGCAGAAGUCUCCCUAAUUGAAAGAAAGGAACCGAACAGGAAAAAGUUGGCAUACCAACAUUUCUUCACAAUCAGUGAUGAAAUAGUUUGCAGAUAACUUGGCAUUCUCCAGAAAAUGUUCCUGGGAGCAAAAAUUGGAAAUGGGCGAUCAGGAAGGGGGAAACAAAGAAAAGAAAAGAAACCGAAAGUAAUUAAGGUCGAUAAUCUGAAGUCGUUUCAAGUGGCAUGAACCGUUAUCUCCAGCACAUGUUAAAAAUAAUGACCGCUAAUAUACUGUACAAAAUUGUAGUGUAAGAAGCAAAAGUAUCAUCUAUAUUAAGUUCCUUAUGUUCUUGCGCAUCUUGUGGUCUUACAGGACUUCAGCUAAGGAAAUACCGCACAAUACUAAACAAUUUCAGCAGCAUUCCCCUGAGGAUGCUCCUGUUUGAUUCCAUAUAGCUUGGUGUAGAUUUUUUUAAAAAAUAAAUAAAUAAAUAAAUAAAAUAAAAUUAAAAAAGAAAAGAAAAGAAAAGAAAAAAGGAAGAAACUAAGCAAUUGUGAAAUCUGAAAUUGGGAAUUCAGAUCCAAUGCCCCAUAAUUUCAAAAUUCUAGUACUUCUUUGAGAUUUGGAACCCUGUUUGGAGUAUUUAAGAUAUAUUCCAUAAGAUAGACACCACAAACAACAGAUCCAAUGAAUAAACAGUUAAUUCCUAUAGAUUUCAAAGAUGACACUAAAUUCAUAAAUGUUGUUAAGAACAGGACAUGAACUUAGCCCUGGUUUUGGCCCCUAUUUUUUGGAAAUGAAAAUGGAUGGAAUAGUGUUUUUAUGAAAAAUGUGUGGUUGAAAAAGAAGGAAAAGUUUUCAAUUUACAUGUAAUAUUAUUUUAUGGAAGAAUGUGUGAUUGAAAAUAGGAAAGAGAAAAAUGGAAUGUAAUUUAAUGAGAUUCAAACAUGGGCUUAUUAUAUGUUCCUGAUGGUAGCAUACAAGCAAUAGAUGGCAUGAUGUGGAGAAUAGUCUCUCCUAAAAUAACCAGUGUGCAAAUAAACAUCAUGCUUGGCAAGUUUCCAGAUAGAAGAUACAAAUUGUUUCCCCGUCCAAAAUAUCCAAUAAGAACACAUUGACCAUAUUGAGAGCUGGUGCAUAACUGGUUAAUUUCCAGCCUUCAUUGUGAGUGUACUUAAUAGGCUAAACCAAUAACUAGAUGAGUAGAACACCUGGAUAAGUUCAGACAGAGAAUUAAAUUUGGCAUCAUGAUGUCACCGAAAUCUCUAUCCAGAAACAAAAAAUAGAUCACGUAUAAGUACCAAUCCAGGAUACAUGCAUAUGUAGAUAACACUUGAAAAUUUAUUGACUCGCCUAACCUCAGUACAGUGGGGAGGGAGGGAGGAGGAGAGAGAGAGAGAGAGAAACCUACCAAUAUCUGUUGCAUACCAAGCAUAGGAUGGAGACGAGAAUACAUGAACAAAAGGUCAAAACUCGGAAAAAGUCCAGCUUGCUGCAUCAUAAACAUGUCCUUCUUUAGGUAAAAUUAUCAAGAGAGUGCAUUCAAGUUAAGAGAGACGCACCAACCAGCAAUGAACUAAUUACCUCUAUAAUGGGAGAUGAGGAACUCAAUGAUGAAUUAAGUAGAGGUAGAUCUUCCGCAUCUAGACACGUCACUUCACCAACAGGGAAUUUAGAUCUAUACCUGCCUGCUCUUCCUACAAGAAAAUCCACCAGUCAUAAAUCAUCAAUUUCCAUAAGCUUUGUAAAGCUUGUCAUUCCCAGAGAGAGUUAACUAAAUAUAAAUAAAACUAGAUAUUGUACUAGUCUAAGACCAUUAAACAAUGCAACAAACAAAAACAUAAACAAACAAAGCCUUGUUCCUGAUAAAUUUGAAAAAAAAAAAAGGGAAGAAGUCAGCUACACUAUUCCUUUUUCUUACCCAAUUAAGUUCAUUGCUAGAUCUAAUCAAAGAUCUAAAACGACAAGAAUCGCAAAUUCACUAAUAUACAAUAAAUAUACCAGCGAGAAUCGAAUUCCCCCACACUUACUUUCUCCUUAUACUUGUCACUCUUAGAGGUAACUAGUCCAUGUCCUGUUGCGCCAACCUUAUUCUCUCUCAAUUAUCAUUUUCUAUUUUAUUUGUUUAAUAUUUUUAUGAGGGCUGAAGUAGGGGAGUAAAAAUGUAUUUUUCAUUAUCAGUAUAGGUACCCCUCUUUUGACACAGCGACACAACUACAAUCAGAAGAGAAAAAAGUGAGGUAACAUUUCUUUCUUCCUUUCUUCUUGCAUUUUUGUACCUUGAGUACCACUACAAUAAUCUAGACAUGAAAACAACAUUAACCUUCAAAUAAUUUCCACCUAAGGAUUGAGUAUUUAAGAUACAGAAGCUAAAUAGUAUGGAUUCGGAAGGUAGCAUAAGACUAAUAGAACACGUCAUGAAGAGAACAAGACAAAUUGAUUGAAUUCAUAUUCAAUCAGACUCUAAAUUUCUAAUUAUCCUCUCAAAGAUGCAUGGUGAAACAGAAUCAAGAACAUUGAGAUAUGUUCUACAAAUGAAGCAUUUUGUGUAACAAGAAUCCCGAGAACAAGUUGAUGACUUACCUGCAAUUUGUUUGAUCUCCGAGACAGAAAGGUCCCGCAUUUCCACACCAUCAAAUUUCUUCAAGGUUGAAAAUAUAAUUCUAGAUAUGUCAAGGUUAAGACCCAUCCCGAUGGCAUCACUAGCUACGAGAACAUCUAACUCGCUGUUUUCAUCAUUGAACAUUGUCGCCUGCAAUCCUAAAGAAUGUAUUAAUUCAGCUCAUAGCAGGAAUCAAAAUGGCUUACAUUCUAAAGAACAACAUCAAUUAAAGUGAACUAAGAAUCCAAAAUAAUAGUACAUGUUAAAGGAUAAACCAUAAGGAGAUUAAAUUCGAUUGCACAUUGAGAGACUGUGGAGUACAAGGAAAGAGCGUAAUAAUGGAAAGAGGACCCUUGCAAUCAGAAACUCAAUAAGAAAAUAACCUUUAAAGAAAAACAAAAAUAUCUCAUCUAAAAGAACUUUUACAUCGAUGUAAAAUAAGUUCUAUCUCUGACCAGAGAAAAAUGAAGGUAAAGAGUACAAAACCUGUCUCGUUCAAGUCUCUGGAGGUAGUGAACCAUAAACAACAGAACAGAGAUGCUUUCCUCCAUUUUCAAUUUGUUUCUGUCAAAAUCAAAAAAACAAGAGGUUCAAUCAGGAUGAGUAGAAAUGAAAGUGAUGAUGCAUAGUGAGAAGAAAAAUUAAAAUUAACUGAAUGUGAAUGGAUCUGAUCAUAUAAUCUCAAAUUCAAAAAUAUUCACCAUAUAUGAACUUUCAAAUGUAGGUCAAGCAAGUCUCAAUUGCAACCAUUAACCAGGUUGGCCACAUAAUUUCAAAAAUUAACAGGAAGUUAAGCAGCUCAAUAACAAAGCAGAAGUGUUUAAACUGAAAAAUUAACAGGAAGUUAACAAUAAGACGUAUUCGUUUAAAUUGUGAUCAAAAUGCCUUUUGCUUUCCUCAAACUAUUUAUAUCCUCCCAUCCCAAAAUCUCUUAUAGAAAGGAGGAAAAAACCCCUCCCAAAAGUAAAGAUCAGAAAGAAACACACCCUUUCUAAUGUAACGCCCACAGUUAAAAAGAAAGGAUUUAUGAAAGAUAGCUAUGUAACUAUUCAUAUAUUGAAAAUAGCAACAUAAAAUGACAUUUUCACAUAUAUGAUAUAACUAUAGCAUAUUGUAUAUUGCUUAUUAAACAACAUUACUAGAAAGGUCGUAUGUAUCUUUUGCAGGAACACAACUUUAAAUGUCAAAAUAAUUACAAACUAAUCUACAAUCUCCACUUGUCACCUAGAUGCAUCAUACUGCAUCAAAAUAACAUCUACUGUCACAACAUGGUCCAAAUAUAAUACGUGCACUAAUUUUUUUGAAAUGACAUCUUAAGCAAUACUAGUUAAAAUUUAAAAAGGCUGACAACUAUGUAAUGUCACCACCUCUGGAGUGGAAUCAAAAGAAAGCUAAAAUUUAGAAACCUUGACAAUGUCGUCGGUCACUUUCAGAAUUUCCUGAAUUAGAGGAACUGCUGCUGCAUCUCCACACAAAUGCAAUUCCUCAGCAGAUAUUCCUAAUAAAGCUCGUGUAAAUGAAAAACCCCUUGACCUACACCCUAACAUCUGUUGGGGGAAAAAAAAGAUACAGAGAUUAGAGGAAGUAAAUAACAUGUAUUCCACCAAUGAUGAAGCAGUUAAAAGUACAAAUUUCCAAAAAGGUUAGCAGUAUAAAAUUAUAAAAAUGUCUCUAAAACUAUGCACAAAACAAGACCAUGAUUUUGGUGCAUCCAAUUUUAUUCCAAUACCGUUCUCCUUCUUUAUAAUUCUUUUGAACUUCUUCCCAGAGAACAAAAGGCUUGGAUAUACAAUAGAAUUGAUUUUAGACAAGGCACCUACAUGAGAAUUUGUCAACGGUCACAAUAGGCGUACAACUUUUGGACAACCCACACCCCAGCCAAGGCGGGUUUUGAAAAAUAUUGUUUUCCACAUAGUAUGAACUAGCGUCAUUUUGCAAAGCACUGUAGAUCAGUACUCUACAACCUCAACUUUCAUACAGCAUAUUGAACUAGCAUCAUUUUGCAAAGCACUGCAGAUCAGUACUCUACAACCUCAACUUUUGCAGCUUAUUUACCAGGACAAACGAAAAACAGUAAUAACUGUCCAUGACAAACUGAUAUUAAAGCGACUUUCUUGUCUUAUACUAGAUAAUUAUACAUCAUUGUUGCACCAUUCCAUGAUAAUCUGCUUUAACUAAGCACAUUAAAAAGUCUGUUACAGAAAAUCAGUAAAGAAAGCAUGGAUGACCAAAACAUUUUUCAAAGAUUCAAAAUUUCAAGUUAUAUAAUUCUGCCUAAAUAAGAUGAUAGAGCAAAACAAAUAAAUGCAUACUCUAUUACAUAUAAAAUAAUCAAUAAGGAUAAAUUUUUUAGCUUCUGUGUCUUCAUGGACCAGAAAUUUAAGCAAUGUAUGGUAAUUUUAGAAACUUUAACUAUUGUCAAUGAUGUGGCUUAAAACCUUUUCUCUACCAAUUGGGAAAAAUGGCUUCCUCCUCACUUCUGUUUCAUUUAUACCAAAUAACAAAAAUUAAUUGAAACAUCAAAGGAAGAUGGAGCCAGUCAUGUGCUAUACACAGACCUGAAUUUCGUCAACAACAGCACAAGCAUAAUCAGAAUUCACAUCAGCCAUUUCUACAGUAACAGACUUAUGUUUUGCACCAUCAACUUCCUCCCUUUCUUGUCCGGUAAUAAGAUCACAAGGAACUUUAGCCUUAUUCAAACGUUUUGCCACCUCCCAUGCCAAUAGUCUCAAUGGCCCACAAUAAAUACCAGCAGCAAGUAUUCAUUGGUUUCUCAAUUAAAUAUCAGGGUGUGCACCCAAAAGAAACAAACAGAUUGUUGAGGAUAAUAAUAUGGAAAUAUUUUCAUAUGCAACAUACCAGAACAACUUGACUCCAGCUGCUUCAAUGCAUGAUAUGUUUUACCACUAUUUGUUGGACCAACAUGUAAGAUAAUAUUUCGUCUUUUUCUUCGAGCCUUUGGAUACCAAGUGUGAGGGCGCCUAAAAUUUAAAGCAAAAUAUGUACUGAUUAAAGUAAGAACGGACUGUGAAAACCAUUAACAAUAAAUUUAAAGAGCAAAAAACUUUAUCUUAGUAUCGUGAAUCUUACGUAAGAUCUGUAAAGUCAAAUUUCAUUGCUCUUGUGGAAUCGCUGAGCUGCCUAAAGAAUCGACACAUGGCCAAUGGAGUUCUAAACUUUGAGUCCCCAGAAACGCAACAAAACUCCAAAUUAACUGAACAGCAGAAAGGGUGAAAGAUGUAUCAUAUAUCAAACAACAGAAUGGCUACAAAAGAAAGCUGUGCUCAGUGAUACCUUUGUACUCUUAACAAAACACCCAAAAGAACAAAAAAUUUACAUUCAACACGCACUGACAACAAAUAUAUAUUGACAUCUAUGUGACGGAUGUGACAGGGGCCUAUGUACUUACAAUUCCCUGACUAGCUACCAAAAACUUCACACCUACAAAAACAAUUCCAUCUUAUGAAAAUCAUAUGAUCCACCUGCAACUUAUUGCAAACAAAAAUCAUCAUUCCUAUAAAGGAAUUGGGCUAGCCAAAUCACAUCUCUACUUGAGUUAGGCAUACUAGCAAGCAGCGAGACAACCUAUUGAAAUCCCAGUAGAACUGGAUAAUUAUAGAGUUAACCGUCGAAUUAGAUAUUUAACUCUACCCCAAUCUCAUCCUAUUAAAAGCAUAAAGUAAAGAAAAAAAUAUGUAUUCAGAGAUGUUGAACGUGAUGAGAAGUUGGUGGAUUGUGGAUACGGAAUUCUUUAGGGGACCUGCAUCAACAAUACAAAUAUUGUUGUUGCCAGAUUUCUCAAGGAUACAUGAAACACAUUCCUAAUCCCUAAGAAAAUACAUCAUAUAAAUGAAUGAGCAUGACCUUUAAAGCCAGUUACGGAGCCAGAUUACAGAAAUCAAGGUCUCAUACAGUUACACUUUAUGUGCACAAAAAUUCAAGAAUUCAACAACACUGUCAUGCCAAAAAAUGCAUAAUGUCAUGUAAGCAUAGAUUACCACUUCACCAUUUCCAUCAAUCAAUACAAUCAAUCAUGCAUCUGAGAGCACAAGCAUCACAUUCUACUGACGACAAAGCUUCAUACUGUGCAACAGAUAUUCCAUGCUGCUAUCAAAAUUUCCUCCUGAUUUAUGUUUAAUCAUACUUAUUAUCAGAUAUAAAAUCAAAUGCUAGCUGCUGUUAUUCAACUGAAACUUACAAUUUCUACAAAGGUCAACCACCACAUCGUUAUUAAUUUUUAUUCCUACAUCAUAAUAUGCCAUAAUAACCUGCAUUUGAUCGGUAAAAUACUAUUGAUACCAAAUGUGAAAUUACUUAUCAUUGUCAAUUUAGCUUCGAGUAUUUAAUCAACAAGACAAACAUGAUAUGAGCCUCUUUGGUACAUCUUUAUAUAAGAACUCGAUAAUAGAAAAAUGGAAUGUGAAUGUCUAUUUUUCUACUAAGCUAAAAGCCUAAAAGUUUCCACAACACAGAAUACUUCAUAUGUCUAACAGUACAUUCAACCUUAAAACAUACAACUGUAAUAGUAUAGAAUAAGAUUCAGACAAUUGGACAAAAGCACGCACAAAAACAAAUCCAAAUAAUUGAAGCAUCCUCAAAAAGACAGCGGAAAGAAACAAUUUCAGGUUAAUUAAUAAGAAAAAUAAAGCUAAGACCAUGAUAAAACCUGCACAGUCACUAGAAUUUACCCCUUGGACCUAUCAAAAUUAUGAUUUCUAUUUACAAAUUCCUCAAUUUCCACUAAUUUUCAACAGAAUCUUACAUAGAAUCAUUCAAAUUCCAGAAAACUGAGAGAGGUAAAAAAUUGAAAAAGAAAACUUCGCACCUUCAAGCACCGUCGGAAUAAUGUAUUCAGAUAUUUACUUUUUCCCAAUUCCUUUUUAUUAUCAACCAAAUUUUAUUGCCGAGCAUUUUAGUUAACAAGGGAAAAAGGAAUAACGGAGUUUACCAAGACCACGCGGGGUGCUGAAGUGUGUUAGCUUUCGAAGAAAGAUCAAAGACCCCAUUUUUCCCCUCGUUUUUUGUUCUCAAUUUCAGACAAUUGAAGGUAAAAUCAAGCGGAAAUUGAAAUCAUACGAGAAAAGGGAACCAAAAAUGAUUAAGAAGAGAGAAGUGAAUAUCUAACUGUUUUUAUUAAUGGAUUUUGUGGAGCUGAGUAAUUUACGUAUCUGUGUUCAUGGCGCGUUUUCCGACCGCCGUUUCCGGUGUGCUCAAAACAAGUCUGGCAUUUGCCUGUGUAAUAGUCUUGGGUAAAAAGCACACCAGUCACUCAACUUUCAGUCAAAUUUUAUUUUAGUCAUCCAACUUUUUUUCCCCCCAACUCAUGUUACUCAUCACUGAUAUUUCUAAUCAAUUAUAGUGCAUAUUUGAGCAAAGCUUACUGAUCAAACAUAAUUUUUAGUGAAAUUCACAAUUUACUUCACUUAUAUUCCAAACUUUUAGCACUUAGGCCCCGUUUGAUUACACGAAAUUUUCCAUGGAACUUGGAAUUCGAAUUCCAACUUCCACUUUUGGCCUGUUUGAUUGACAAAAUUUUCCAGGGAAUUGAUUUUCCAUGAAUUUCUAGGUACAACACCUUAAAGCGUGAUUUUCCAACUUUUUUUCCUAGGGGAUAGGUGGUUUUUGGUUUUCCAUCUUAUUUUUAUUUUUUAUUUUUUGCUUUUUUUUUUUAAUUGUUGGCAAUGGGAACAAAUUUUAGGAAUAAUUGUAAAAGAGGAUAUCCCUGAAAUUGACAAUUUCCACGUAAAACAAAGUCAAACGAACAUCAAAAAAUACUUUUACUUCAACAUUUUCCACGUGAAAAAUUUAUACAAUCAAACACAAUAAUUUACAAUUUCCAUGAAAACAAUUUCUAGGUAAUUCAAUUCCCUGGAAUUCAUUUUCUUUCCAUGUAAUUUUCCUACUUGUAAUCAAACGCACCCUUAGAGGCACUCUCAAACAAAGUGUUAGUACGAUCAUCAAUAAUAACUUUGUUAUAAAAAAUUAUCUAUUUUCAUUAACUUUUAUUUUAUCUUUAGUACGAUCAUCGAUAAUAACUUGGAGAUUAUGGCUUUUCUCUACUAAAAUCACUCCAAAUUGAUUAUACAAACAUUAUAAGAAUUUUUAGCUGUCUGAUAUUUGUGGAAAUCCAUAGUUUGAUUUUUUUUUUUUUUAAUCAAGGUUAGUUUCCUAAUACGAUUUACUUUAGAUAAAUUAAUCCUAAUGAAAAUGUCAACUUUUAUUUGAAUGAAAUUACUUGGAAACCCUUUUUCUUAUGUUUAUUUUCGAUCACACAUUUUUUAAAAAAUAAAUUAUUUUACUCGUUUUUUCAUAAUUUUUCGCUACACGUUCUUUAGAAAAUUAAAAUGAAGUACUAAGCCCUUGUUUGGUCCCAUUAUAUCUCAAAUGCAUUUUUCUCUCUUUCAUUUUCAAUUAUACAUUCUUAAAUAAAAUAAUAUUACAAGCAAAUUGAAAAAUUUUCAUAUAUAUUUUUUUACCACACUCUCUCCAUUAAAUCAUUAUUCCAAAAAUACAUUCUUGAUUAAAAAAAUAAAAAUCUCAAGCAUGUAAAUUUUAAAUCCAAAUCAACGAUAUAGAAAUUGCAAGUACAUUACUUGCCAUCUUAGCCAAAUUUACAAAUAGUGAACAAUUAAUUUCCACCGACUCAAAUUAUCAAAAACUGAACUGUGCUAGACGAGCAUACAUGGCCCUAUCCAAGAAGAUUUGUUCAUCGGGACUUGUUAUAAUCUUCAAUGAACUUAGUUGAUGCUCAAUCUCGUCUUUUUCUUGUCAAAUCCAUGUUUUUACUUUAAUAUUUUUUUAAAAAAAGACAUGGAUAAUAUAAACUUUUAUAUAUUGUAUAAAAUUAUAAAAUUAGUAGUUAAAACUAAGAGAACAAAAUUAAUUUAUAAUCUCAAAAAUGCGUACACAUGAAAAAUAUAAUUAGGAAUAGACUUUCAUAUUUAUUUUGUUCAAAAAAAUCUUCACGUUUUGAAAACUUUUACAUCUUUUGCAACUCGACUCAUGAGUUCAACUAAUGACCUGGCCAACUAUUGCUUAUUGAAUUGGUACUGAGAUUGAAUAUGAUAACUAUAAUAAAUAGUGCUCUUAUUUAAAUAUUUAAUUUUUAAGAAAAGGAAUUAAUACAGGACUAUAUUUAAUUAUUAAUGAUUACCUUAUAAUCUUUGUCCUCUGCCAAACUAUUUUUUAUUUUUAAUUUUUUAAAUCCCAAUUAACUAUGCAGUGUACGUCUGUAUGAAAUACAUGAUGUUUUUUAUAUUUGAACUUAAAAUUCAAUAUUUAAAAAUGUGGUACAAAAUAUCCUUUAUUGAUCAAAUUUAAAGUUUAAACUGCCUUUUCUUUUGGUAAUUACUCAAAACCAUUGAUGAUUAUCAUUUUUUAAACAUUGAUUCAGUGCUCUUGACAAGCUUUCUUUCUUGAACAGAAGUCAAAGACCCAUGCAUUCUCAUUCUUCAUUUUAAGGAUGUCCCAUUGAUACCGUCGACAAAUCCAAGCAACUUGAACAACUCUCCGUUUGGAGAACCAAUAGAAAGGACAAGUUAGCUUGAUGACUUCUUGAUCAAGAAAAAAGAAAGUCUCGACAACGAGAAUCACGUACAAUUCAUUUGGGAAAGGUGUGACAAGUCAAUCCAAGUGGUCGUCAUAACAUGUCCCAUAUUCAUUAAUUCAUCAUUCGUAGUUGCUUAAUUACAAGAGAUAUACUUUAUUCCAACAUCAAAUAUUUUGCAAAAAUUGCAAUACUUUAAACAAGAGCACCACCUUUGACAUACUCAGUAACUGCCAAUGCAAUCAAACCCAACAUGGCAAACCUUCCAUUCCACAACUCAGCAUCAGACGAAAACACCCCAUUCGAUUUCGAUUCUGCCCUAACCCCUUUGAACAGAGGAAUCAAAGAAGCAGCACUUAGCAAAGCAGAAGUCACUAUGAACCAUUGAAUUCCUCCAUUUUGUAUCUGUGCAAACACGUCCUGACCAUUAGCAAGCUCGACACCAAUGGCAGUGACGAACCCGAUCAUCGCGAGCCGACCGUUGAUCCUCUCCGGUCCUGGCCCACCGAAGGCUAGUAUGUCACCAAAGUUGGUACUAACCUGUCAAUGUUAAAGAAUAACUCAGAAGCCUGAUAGACUAAUGUUUGAGACUAUAAGUAGUAAGUUAAUCCCUAACCUUUGGUGGAGUUGCUGACUCCGGCUGCUCUUUCUGUUAAAUUCAAAGUGAAAAAAAUAAUUACGUCAAUAAUUGUAUAUCAAAUGUGUACUUGAAAUUUAUGCUUGAAACAAGAAUUAGUUACCUUGGACAUGCUGCUGACUCGAAAAUCCACAUUCCUCUUGAGACUUGGAACAUAGGAGGGUACAGCAAACCGUUUCAGGGCAGUUUUGUUUGUAAGUCCCGUGGCUGGGCUUAGUGACAUAACGCUUGAUACGGCAGCCAUGGUGUACGUUCGAGGGGCACGAGAAAAUUCCGAAGUAUACAAAAGUCAGUAUCUAAGUAAAGGGAGAGUCGGAGUAUUGAUACUAAAGAUUUCUUAGUAUUUGACUUGAGAAGGAGAUGUGGAGUGGAGGUUGGUUUUAUAGUGCAUGAUAGCAUGGGUAUGUUUCAUCUGCAGUCAUUGAUUUUUUAGCAAAAAAUUUAUUGCGUCACUAAACUUUGAUUUGUUUCAAUAGAGUUACUAAACGUCAAUUUAGAUUUAAGUUGAGUAUUAAACUUAAAUUUAAUUUCAAGUGUGGCCUCUUUCAAACUGAUGAAAAUUGCUUAAUUUGAAGUAUUGGAUCUUUUAUGCAAUUGCUGUGCGUCCGUGUAUUAAAUUUACCAUGAGAGGAGACAAAAAGUGAUGGAUAUUUCUACAUCCACGUAAUUUGAUAUGGCCCGUUAAAGAUACAAUGUCACGUGGGUUUGUAAUGCCACACAUAUUUGACUUGGCCAUAAUAUUGACAACAAUUUCAAGUGAAAAAGUUGUGGCCUAGAUGGUUCCAUGUAUGGUUAGGUGGACAAUUUUAACAUUAUGCGGGUAUAAUAUGACAUUUUGUGGUCUUAUCUUCUUGUAUUUGCAAUUUUGUUUUUUCAAAAGUCGUGACGAAUAUAUGGAGAAGGAUAAUUCUGUUUGAACGGCCCAUGCAAGUAACGUGGUCCUGUAGAGAAUGGGAGCUUGUUUAGGAGUGAUCUUUCAUCCAAAAAAAUUGAUUUUUUGACCGUUAUUUUACUAUUUCAACUGUAAAAUUUGACUUUUUCUCUUACAUGUAGUUCCUACUUUUCUCCUAACUGUCACAAAAUCACUCCCAAACGGGGCAUGGGUAUAAUUUUUUGAGGAGUACGGAUAGCCUCGCGUGUCAUCUCUUUAAUUGUGUCAAAUGUGACGUAUGUUCUCUCAUAUAUCUCGCUCUUGAAAUUGUGACUUAUGAUAAUUGCAGUGUCUCCAAAAUAUAUCCGUCACAUAUAUGUGACCAAUGGUGAAUUAGGAUUUCAAGAAAUGAAUAUGGUUGAAAUGUGAAACACAAGGAUCUUGCUCUAUCAUUUGAAAUGAAGAAGGUGAAUUUGAGUGAAGUUAUUCACAAUAAGAAUGAAUUUUCUCUCAUCAAAUUUGAGUAAAUAUAAUAAAAUUAUAAAAUCCGAAUUUCAAAAAAUAACCUUAUGAUAAUAAUUCUUGAAUUAUGGAUUCGUGAAAAUGAAAAAUGAAAAUAAAUAAACAUCGAAAUUAUUGUCCCUACUACAACUUUAUAGCUUCUCCAUUAUAUAUCUAUAGUAUAUAAUAUAUUAAAUAUCACAUCAAGUGGGAAUAUUUUUUAAAAUAAUUUUAACCCCAUUAAAUCAAUUAUUUCAAUAAUAACUUACUACUCGCUUUUCAAUAUGUAAUAAAUACCAUAAAAUCAUUGUCAUGUAUGAACCUCGCAUUAUUAAUUCUCAAUUAAUUAUUAUUCACAUUAAUCUAGACCUAAUGAAUCUUAACUCGAUGAAUUUUCUACAUGAUAGAUGAAUUUAUUUCAUUCAUGUACUUAAAAAAUAUAAGGAAAGCUACUAUAUUUAAUAUGUUGCCAUUAAUGAAUAUUUGUAAUUGAUAGCCACAAUACUUAAUAGUGAUUUUGGUUAUAUGAGAUGAGAGACAUCUCACAUUGAGCGGUAUCAAUUUUUAUUGAGUAUCAUUGAGUAUAGUUGACAACCUCCCUUGAGUCUCAAGUGUAAUGAAACUAAGCGGAUUGAUGUUUUUCCGGUAUUUAUUUGAGAAUUUUUUNNNNNNNNNNNNNNNNNNNNNNNNNNNNNNNNNNNNNNNNNNNNNNNNNNNNNNNNNNNNNNNNNNNNNNNNNNNNNNNNNNNNNNNNNNNNNNNNNNNNNNNNNNNNNNNNNNNNNNNNNNNNNNNNNNNNNNNNNNNNNNNNNNNNNNNNNNNNNNNNNNNNNNNNNNNNNNNNNNNNNNNNNNNNNNNNNNNNNNNNNNNNNNNNNNNNNNNNNNNNNNNNNNNNNNNNNNNNNNNNNNNNNNNNNNNNNNNNNNNNNNNNNNNNNNNNNNNNNNNNNNNNNNNNNNNNNNNNNNNNNNNNNNNNNNNNNNNNNNNNNNNNNNNNNNNNNNNNNNNNNNNNNNNNNNNNNNNNNNNNNNNNNNNNNNNNNNNNNNNNNNNNNNNNNNNNNNNNNNNNNNNNNNNNNNNNNNNNNNNNNNNNNNNNNNNNNNNNNNNNNNNNNNNNNNNNNNNNNNNNNNNNNNNNNNNNNNNNNNNNNNNNNNNNNNNNNNNNNNNNNNNNNNNNNNNNNNNNNNNNNNNNNNNNNNNNNNNNNNNNNNNNNNNNNNNNNNNNNNNNNNNNNNNNNNNNNNNNNNNNNNNNNNNNNNNNNNNNNNNNNNNNNNNNNNNNNNNNNNNNNNNNNNNNNNNNNNNNNNNNNNNNNNNNNNNNNNNNNNNNNNNNNNNNNNNNNNNNNNNNNNNNNNNNNNNNNNNNNNNNNNNNNNNNNNNNNNNNNNNNNNNNNNNNNNNNNNNNNNNNNNNNNNNNNNNNNNNNNNNNNNNNNNNNNNNNNNNNNNNNNNNNNNNNNNNNNNNNNNNNNNNNNNNNNNNNNNNNNNNNNNNNNNNNNNNNNNNNNNNNNNNNNNNNNNNNNNNNNNNNNNNNNNNNNNNNNNNNNNNNNNNNNNNNNNNNNNNNNNNNNNNNNNNNNNNNNNNNNNNNNNNNNNNNNNNNNNNNNNNNNNNNNNNNNNNNNNNNNNNNNNNNNNNNNNNNNNNNNNNNNNNNNNNNNNNNNNNNNNNNNNNNNNNNNNNNNNNNNNNNNNNNNNNNNNNNNNNNNNNNNNNNNNNNNNNNNNNNNNNNNNNNNNNNNNNNNNNNNNNNNNNNNNNNNNNNNNNNNNNNNNNNNNNNNNNNNNNNNNNNNNNNNNNNNNNUUAAAAUUACAUGUUCUCUGUUCGAGAGUUUUUGAUUCGGUCCUUUUGCUAUAUGUCUUUUCUCCCUUUUAUACUCCAUGGAUGAUCUCUUUGUGAUCAACCGCCUAAAAACUGUUUGAUCGUUCUACAACUGCCCACUUUCCUCGUAAUGGCCAACUUGUCAUGAAACUGCCUUUUUUAACUGCUGCCAUUACUCUUCGUCGUCCAACCGUUUUUGAUUGAAUUCUUUGAAUCGUGGAAUGUGAUAGGGCUGCUUUAAUAACUGCUUUGAUAACUGCACUUCUUGAUAACCACAACACUUUAUGUUUGCUAAGACCUUGGGCGACUUGAAGGUUUGGGCGAGAAUAGAGUAACAGCUCUGGGCGACUGCAUGACACUCCAUUCGCUCAGAUUCUGGGCGACUUGCAAACUUGGGCGAUGGCGUUACCGCGUUCUUGGGCCUCCCUAUUUGGGCCUUCGUCUUGAAUUGUUUGAUUGGGCUUCGUUCUUUGGGCUAUUUGAUUUGGGGACCCUCCAAUUGGGCUUCAUUCCUUGGGCCGUUCGAUUUGGGCUGAAUUUUUAUGUGUCAACACUAGGGUUUAUAAAAAUUAAUGAAAAGCAGAGUAGUAAAAAUGUAUCAAUUGAUUAGUGAAGUGUUGCUUUCCGUUUUUAAGUUGAUAGAGACCUCAGCCAAUUAACAUUGGCUUUCACCUAUUCAGAAAUAACAUUUUUAAGAAAUGAAAUAAAAAAGAGAAAAUCAAUUAAAACUGCCCAAUUGCCUGCUCAAUUUGGUCUAAUUUUUCCUUCAUUCUUUUUUCCUUGGUGUUCUAGUUAUGAAAGUAGAAUAACAUGAUAAUGGGAAAUAUUCAAACUUCUUAUAAGAUCUACACCUUGUAGAAGAAUUUAAUCAAUACAAAACAUGGGCUAUGAAAGUAGAAUAAUAAUGAUAAUCGGACAUGUAAAGGCAGGAUCACACGAUAUUAAAUUCAAGAAAUAAGAAAACCUUAAUCGAACAGAAGUAAAAUUGCAGGAAAUUAAAAAUGAACACAAAUGAAUUAUUUCGGCCUAAGCCCCGGAGGUUCGGCGACUACUUCUAACGCCUACAUCCCCCGUUGAGCAUCCAAAGAUUUGGAUUAUGCUCGGUUGCAUUUAACAGCCCAAAAUGACAACAAAUGUUACAUAUUGUUCAGAGAGAUGAAAAUGAGACUUAUCUCUCAAGUAUAGUUAUGGAUCUAAGAGAUUCACUCAGAUCUCAGCCAUCAGACCCUUCGAACACCACCACAAGGUUACAACAGAGAAAUCACUCAGAUUUCUUCACUAUUCACAUAGAAUAUUACAGAUCGAAGAAAGAUCUCACUAUACUAUACAUAAAAUCAGAGAUUUAAGCAUGAAACACUCAAGGAAAUAAUCAUCUCCCAGAUCGCCAACUUUUUCUCUCUGAAAACCCUAGAGACAAAAGUGAAAAUGAAUAUUGAAAGUCAGACGUUCCAGAAGGCUCCGGAUUUUUUAAUGAAGGGCAGAUAAACCGACUCCAUCUAACGUCCAGAGUUAGUCCACGUGUUGCCCAUCCAAUAAGUUGUCACCACUUAUUAAGUCGUGUUUCAUAUAAACACGAUUUUGUCACAAGUCAAAUUUUGAAAGCACCAAUUGAAGAGAACAGGUUUCGAUUCCAACAAUCUCCACCUUGCUGCCAGAAUUUGAACUAUUAGUGCAGCCAGGAGCAUGAUCUUAUGUCUUUUUCAUUUGCUUCAAGUACCUGUACAUAAAUCACAAAGAAUCAACAGAUAAAAGUUUCAAACAGUUUAAAAAUUUGUUUAAAGGAAUUACUUUUGUACCCAUAUCAGAUGGAUUAAACUGAGUAGAAAACAUUUCAAUCUUAAUUUCACCUUUUGAAAUUAUAUGUCUUAUAUAAUGAUAUUUGACAUCAAUAUGUUUCAAUCUAUCAUGAAACAUGAGAUUUUUACUUAGGUGAAUAGCACUUUGGUUAUCAGAAAACAGCACAAUGUGAUUAUUAUCAAAACUCAUUUCAGACAAUAAAUCAUUCAACCAAAUCCCUUCUUUAUAUAAGAACUCGAUAAUAGAAAAAUGGAAUAUGAAUGUCUAUUUUUCUACUAAGCUAAAAGCCUAAAAGUUUCCACAACACAAUACUUCAUAUGUCAGAAUACUUCAUAUGUCUAACAAUAAAUUCAACCUUAAAACAUACAACUGUAAUAGUGUAGAAUAAGAUUCAGACAAUUGGACAAAAGCACAAAAACAAAUCCAAAUAAUGACUUCGAUUGAAGCAUCCUCAAACAGACAGUGGAAAGAAACAAUUUCAGGUUAUGAUUUCUACCUUGGACCUAUCAAAAUUAUGAUUUCUAAUUUACAAAUUCCUCAAUUUCGACUCAUUUUCAACAGAAUCUUACAUAGAAGCAUUCAAAUUCCAGAAAACUGAGAGAGGUAAAAAAUUGAAAAAUAUGUAUUCAGAGAUGUCGAACGUGAUGAGAAGUUGGUGGAUUGUGGAUACGGAAUUCUUUAGGGGACCUGCAUCAACAAUACAAAUAUUGUUGUUGCCAGAUUUCUCAAGGAUACAUGAAACACGUUCCUAAUCCCUAAGAAAAUACAUCAUAUAAAUGAAUGAGCAUGACCUUUAAAGCCAGUUACGGAGCCAGAUUACAGAAAUCAAGGUCUCAUACAGUUACACUUUAUGUGCACGAAAAUUCAAGAAUUCAACAACACUGUCAUGCCAAAAAAAUGCAUAAUGUCAUGUAAGCAUAGAUUACCACUUCACCAUUUCCAUCAAGCAAUACAAUCAAUCAUGCAUCUGAGAGCACAAGCAUCACAUUCUACUGACGACUAAGCUUCAUACUGUGCAACAGAUAUUCCAUGCUGCUAUCAAAAUUUCCUCCUGAUUUAUGUUUAAUCAUACUUAUUAUCAGAUAUAAAAUCAAAUGCUAGCUGCUGUUAUUCAACUGAAACUUACAAUUUCUACAAAGGUCAACCACCACAUCGUUAUUAAUUUUUAUUCCUACAUCAUAAUAUGCCAUAAUAACCUGCAUUUGAUCGGUAAAAUACUAUUGAUACCAAAUGUGAAAUUACUUAUCAUUGUCAAUUUAGCUUCGAGUAUUUAAUCAACAAGACAAACAUGAUAUGAGCCUCUUUGGUACAUCUUUAUAUAAGAACUCGAUAAUAGAAAAAUGGAAUAUGAAUGUCUAUUUUUCUACUAAGCUAAAAGCCUAAAAGUUUCCACAACACAGAAUACUUCAUAUGUCUAACAGUACAUUCAACCUUAAAACAUACAACUGUAAUAGUAUAGAAUAAGAUUCAGACAAUCGGACAAAAGCACAAAAACAAAUCCAAAUAAUUGAAGCAUCCUCAAAAAGACAGUGGAAAGAAACAAUUUCAGGUUAAUUAAUAAGAAAAAUAAAGCUAAGACCAUGAUAAAACCUGCACAGUCACUAGAAUUUACCCCUUGGACCUAUCAAAAUUAUGAUUUCUAUUUACAAAUUCCUCAAUUUCGACUAAUUUUCAACAGAAUCUUACAUAGAAUCAUUCAAAUUCCAGAAAACUGAGAGAGGUAAAAAAUUGAAAAAGAAAACUUCGCACCUUCAAGCACCGUCGGAAUAAUGUAUUCAGAUAUUUACUUUUUCCCAAUUCCUUUUUAUUAUCAACCAAAUUUUAUUGCCGAGCAUUUUAGUUAACAAGGGAAAAAGGAAUAACGGAGUUUACCAAGACCACGCGGGGUGCUGAAGUGUGUUAGCUUUCGAAGAAAGAUCAAAGACCCCAUUUUUCCCCUCGUUUUUUGUUCUCAAUUUCAGACAAUUGAAGGUAAAAUCAAGCGGAAAUUGAAAUCAUACGAGAAAAGGGAACCAAAAAUGAUUAAGAAGAGAGAAGUGAAUAUCUAACUGUUUUUAUUAAUGGAUUUUGUGGAGCUGAGUAAUUUACGUAUCUGUGUUCAUGGCGCGUUUUCCGACCGCCGUUUCCGGUGUGCUCAAAACAAGUCUGGCAUUUGCCUGUGUAAUAAUCUUGGGUAAAAAGCACACCAGUCACUCAACUUUCAGUCAAAUUUUAUUUUAGUCAUCCAACUUUUUUCCCCCCUAACUCAUGUUACUCAUCACUGAUAUUUCUAAUCAAUUAUAGUGCAUAUUUGAGCAAAGCUUACUGAUCAAACAUAAUUUUUAGUGAAAUUCACAAUUUACUUCACUUAUAUUCCAAACUUUUAGCACUUAGAGGCACUCUCAAACAAAGUGUUAGUACGAUCAUCGAUAAUAACUUUGUUAUAAAAAAUUAUCUAUUUUCAUUAACUUUUAUUUUAUCUUUAGUACGAUCAUCGAUAAUAACUUGGAGAUUAUGGCUUUUCUCUACUAAAAUCACUCCAAAUUGAUUAUACAAACAUUAUAAGAAUUUUUAGCUGUCUGGUAUUUGUGGAAAUCCAUAGUUUGAUUUUUUUUUUUUUAAUCAAGGUUAGUUUCCUAAUACGAGUUACUUUAGAUAAAUUAAUCCUAAUGAAAAUGUCAACUUUUAUUUGAAUGAAAUUACUUGGAAACCCUUUUUCUUAUGUUUAUUUUCGAUCACACAUUUUUUAAAAAAUAAAUUACUUUACUCGUUUUUUCAUAAUUUUUCGCUACACAUUCUUUAGAAAAUUAAAAUGAAGUACUAAGCCCUUGUUUGGUCCCGUUAUAUUUCAAAUGCAUUUUUCUCUCUUUCAUUUUCAAUUAUACAUUCUUAAAUAAAAUAAUAUUACAAGCAAAUUGAAAAAUUUUCAUAUAUAUUUUUUUACCACACUCUCUCCAUUAAAUCAUUAUUCCAAAAAUACAUUCUUGAUUAAAAAAAUAAAAAUCUCAAGCAUGCUGUAAAUUUUAAAUCCAAAUCAACGAUAUAGAACUUGCAAGUACAUUACUUGCCAUCUCAGCCAAAUUUACAAAUAGUGAACAAUUAAUUUCCACCGACUCAAAUUAUCAAAAACUGAACUGUGCUAGACGAGCCUACAUGGCCCUAUCCAAGAAGAUUUGUUCAUCGGGACUUGUUAUAAUCUUCAAUGAACUUAGUUGACGCUCAAUCUCGUCUUUUUCUUGUCAAAUCCAUGUUUUUACUUUAAUAUUUUUUUUAAAAAAAGACAUGGAUAAUAUAAACUUUUAUAUAUUAUAUAAAAUUAUAAAAUUAGUAGUUAAAACUAAGAGAACAAAAUUAAUUUAUAAUCUCAAAAAUGCGUACACAUGAAAAAUAUAAUUAGGAAUAGACUUUCAUAUUUAUUUUGUUCAAAAAAAUCUUCACGCUUUGAAAACUUUUACAUCUCUUGCAACUCGACUCGUGAGUUCAACUAAUGACCUGGCCAACUAUUGCUUAUUGAAUUGGUACUGAGAUUGAAUACGAUAGCUAUAAUAAAUAGUGCUCUUAUUUAAAUAUUUAAUUUUUAAGAAAAGGAAUUAAUACAGGACUAUAUUGAAUUAUUAAUGAUUUCCUUAUAAUCUUUGUCCUCUGCCAAACUAUUUUUAUUUUUAAUUUUUUAAAUCCCAAUUAACUAUGCAGUGUACGUCUGUAUGAAAUACAUGAUGUUUUUUAUAUUUGAACUUAAAAUUCAAUAUUUAAAAAUGUGGUACAAAAUAUCCUUUAUUGACCAAAUUUAAAGUUUAAACUGCCUUUUCUUUUGGUAAUUACUCAAAACCAUUGAUGAUUAUCAUUUUUUAAACAUUGAUUCAGUGCUCUUGACAAGCUUUCUUUCUUGAACAGAAGUCAAAGACCCACCCAUGCAUUCUCAUUCUUCAUUUUAAGGAUGUCCCAUUGAUACCAUCGACAAAUCCAAGCAACUUGAACAACUCUCCGUUUGGAGAACCAAUAGAAAGGACAAGUUAGCUUGACGACUUCUUGAUCAAAGAAAAAGAAAGUCUCGACAACGAGAAUCACGUACAAUUCAUUUGGGAAAGGUGUGACAAGUCAAUCCAAGUGGUCGUCAUAACAUGUCCCAUAUUCAUUAAUUCAUCAUUCGUAGUUGCUUAAUUACAAGAGAUUAUACUUUAUUCCAACAUCAAAUAUUUUGCAAAAAUUGCAAUACUUUAAACAAGAGCACCACCUUUGACAUACUCAGUUACUGCCAAUGCAAUCAAACCCAACAUGGCAAACCUUCCAUUCCACAACUCAGCAUCAGACGAAAACACCCCAUUCGAUUUCGAUUCUGCCCUAACCCCUUUGAACAGAGGAAUCAAAGAAGCAGCACUUAGCAAAGCAGAAGUCACUAUGAACCAUUGAAUUCCUCCAUUUUGUAUCUGUGCAAACACGUCCUGACCGUUAGCAAGCUCGACACCA
RNAcentral lists this long non-coding RNA (26877 nucleotides) under Olea europaea (common olive). RNAcentral describes it as "long non-coding RNA (OEUR_LNC009492)". The record is from RNAcentral. Lineage: Eukaryota; Viridiplantae; Streptophyta; Magnoliopsida; Lamiales; Oleaceae.